Molecule: ribosomal RNA, 291 nt
Filed under: uncultured bacterium
Lineage: Bacteria
Description: partial 16S ribosomal RNA
Rfam family: Bacterial small subunit ribosomal RNA
Source: RNAcentral
GUGCCAGCCGCCGCGGUAAUACGGAGGGUGCAAGCGUUGUCCGGAAUCACUGGGCGUAAAGGGUGCGCAGGCGGGGCAGCAAGUCGGAGGUGAAAGCCCAUGGCUCAACCAUGGAAGUGCCUUCGAAACUGUUGCUCUUGAGUCCCGGAGAGGUUGCCGGAAUUCGUGGUGUAGCGGUGAAAUGCGUGGAUAUCACGAGGAACACCAGAGGCGAAAGCGGGCAACUGGACGGGUACUGACGCUCAGGCACGAAGGCGCGGGGAGCAAACAGGAUUAGAAACCCCGGUAGCC